UCUCACCAAGAAUAGCUAGUGACUGCAUGCCAACCCCUGAUUCUAUGAGAAUAAGCUUCCCCUAUGGCUGAAUAUAACAGAGAAUUUCCACUGAUGCCAUUGCUUGAAGGGAGGCUUGGAGGCCGAGAAGAAGGAAGUGAUUCCAGAAAGGUAUCACCAUUCCUCAGUUACGAAACCCAAGUGAGACCACAAUAUCCUGACUUCCAGUCUAGAGCUAUCUGUAAUGCAAUAAAUCUCUUCACAGGAGCAUAUACACUGGGAACGGGAACUCUCACAGGAGAUUCUCUCCCUUGUUGAUUGGAAAAAGCCAGCUGCCAUGUUGUGAGUAUCCCAUUUAAAAGGGCUAUAUGGCAAGGAACCGAGGGCAGCCUUCAGCUGACAGCCAGCAAGAAACCAAGAUCCUCAGUCUGGUAGCUUGCAAGGCACUGAAUUCUGCCAACAACUGCGUGAGCUUGGAAGUGGAUCCUUCCUCAGUUAAGCCUUGGACAAGACCCAAGCCCUGUUGGACGCUUUAAUUACAGCCUUGCAGAGAACCCAGCUAAGGCAUGUUCAGACCUGAUCCACAGAAACUGUGAGAUAAUCCAUGUGUGUUGUUUUAAGCCUCUAAGUGUGUGGUAAUUUGUUACACAGCACUGGUUAGCUAACACAGAUACCUAGACAGCUGGUAAAGCAUUAUUUCUGGAUGUGUCUGUGAGGGUGUUUCUGGAGGAGAUUGGCAUGUGAGUCAGUGAACUCUGUGGGCAAGAGCUGCCCUCAAUGUAGGUGGGCACCAUCCAAUGUUGUUUUGUUGUAUCUAGGGGCCCAGAUAAAACAAAAAGGCAGAGGAAAGGUGAAUUCACUCUCUCUCUCCUGAAGCUGGGGUACUUUUAUCUCUUGCCCUUGGACAUCAGAACUCCAGGUUCUCUGGCCUUUGGACUCUGGGACUUGCACCAGCUCCCGGCUUCUCAGGACUUCAGCCUCAGAUUGAGAGUCACUCCAUUAACUUUCCUGGUUUAAAAGCCUUUAUACUUGGACUGAGAAACACCAACAGCUUCCCUGGGCUUCCAACUUGCAGAUGACCUAUCACAGGACUUCUCAGCCUCCAUAAUCGCAUGAGCCAAUUCUCCUAAUAAGUCCCCUUUCACAUAUCUAUUUAUCUACAUACGUAUAUCCUACUGGUUCUGUCUUUCUCAGGAACCCUGACCAAUAUAGUAUGUAUCUCUAAAAGAUAAGGACAUCAAAAAAUAUUACCGCGUCUAAAAAUAAAGUGAUUUCUUAACGUCAUGAAAUAUCCAAUUGCUCUCCAAAUUUUCACAAUUACAAAAGUCCACAUGUUGCAUUUAAUUUUAAUGCCUCUUAAUUCUCCCUUAAUUUUGAGAUUGCCUUUUAAGUAAGGCAGUUUAGCUCCCUAGUUUCACUCUAGCCCAUCCAAGGUGUUUCCAAAAACCUCACCUUCACACUAACCACAUCCAUUAUAAGCUGCUUCUUAAACGAUGAGAGCUCUCACUCUCUAAAAGGAAUUCUAAGCAUACCUCUUAAAGUAAUAACAUAUUAUAUCUCUACUAAGUUUAUAAUCAUAAAGAAUGUGGGUAUUUGCAUUCUCAUUUUACAGAUGGGAAAAUUAGUGUAGGUAACACAUAUAGAGAGGUGAUAAAUAGCAAUGGUUUCCAAGAAUGAUGACGAUUUCAGUGUGAAACAGAGAGUAGCAAUGGCAAGAGAUACAGCUAAGUAAAUGUGGAUGGUGAGGGACCCAUUCUGCCUUGUUAAAAGGUUUGAACCCACCCUAUAGACAAUAAAUCACUCAGUGAAUCACUGAGCAAUUUUAAUUAUGGAAGCAAUGUGAUCAGAUUUAUAUUUAAGGCAAGAGGAUUGGUGGCAAUGUAGAAGGCAAACACAAGUCAGAAAGAGUUAGAAGUAAGAAAAGUGAGUAGUCUGAAGAAAUUGGACACAUAAGAGAUGAGGGGGCUGGAAUGACUAACUAUGCAUCUUAUUCUGAAAUAUGUCUCUUAGGUAAUUGAUUAUUGAUACCCCACAUCCAAAUAGUGGGACAGUUAACUGAGAUGUCAGAGCCAGCCUUUUCAACACUUCUAGAGAGAAAUUUUGCAAAGACACAUCUCUUGUACCUCCAUGGACUUUUAAUACAGAUAUGUUUAUCAUAAGAUAACCUUCUAAAGAGCUCAUGAUAGCAUAUGAUCAAACUCCUUAUUGUACAGUCAGGAGGAAUCAGCCUUGUUGAAGGAAGGGGCUUACCCAAAGUUACAAGUUGGGACAAAAUUUUUGCUUCCAAUUCACUGCUGUUCUUACUAGAACUGUUUUCUCCAGUCUCAUAGAAGUUCUGAGAAACAAUUAGGCCCACACUAUCAUCAACAGGCAAAUAUGUGUGCCUGACCAGACAGACAGAGAGGUAUUUUGAGAGAGGCCAGGAAUGAAACUGGUGAAGAGGCCCAGAGUUUCAAUCCUGUUCUCACUCAAGAUUCAUCAUCAUCAUCAUCUUUACUAUAAGGAAGAGGGCAUUUAAAAGCACAAAUGAGAUUGUUAGUGAUAAAAAGGUACUUAUACACCAGCCAAUUCCAUCCUCCAUUUUGCUGAGGCUCAAAGAGGUACAGUGACUUAUCUUCGGUUAUGUAUGCAACUAUUGCAGAGCUGGAUAUUGGACUUAGGCCUCCUGAAGCCCAGCACUGUGCCUGCAGGAGCAUUCCCAACUCCUGUCUUUCUGCUCAAUACAUGGGGAAGAGACGAACAAUUUAGGCUACUCAAAAUGUGGUGGGCAUUUGGGCUCUGGGGAGAGCUUCAGCAUCUCUUCUCUCUUUUCAUGUUCUCCAACUCCUCAAGCAACAUACACACAUAGCAUAAAGAUCACUAGCCAGCUAUUUUCUGUCUUGAAAAAUUUUUAUGAUAAGAGUUUUCUAAUUAGGGAAAGCCACAGUUCAUACACAAAACACAAAUUACUAGGCUCUUUGUCUUUUUCAGAAGAAGUAUUAAUCCAUAAAUAAAUAUACUCUGUUGCCAAGUCACUACCAUGCUGUAUCACAUGGCCAAAGGAUGCCAAAAGGUAUGAGCUCUUGGUGAAUCCCAGCUAUUGACAGCCAGGUGCUGGACCUUAACCAGAGGCAUUGCUAUAGGUGGUUAAGUAUAUGGGCUCUGGUCAGUGGUGACAAAGUUCCUGGGUUCAAAUCCCAACACCCCCAGUUACUAGUUAUGUGACCUUGGACAAGUUGAUUAAAAUCUCUGUACUUCAACUCCUUUAUUUGUAAUAUGGAAAUGAUUUUUUAAAUUACCUAUCUUCUGGGUCUAUUGCAAAAUUAUCUUAUUUAAUAAUAAGAUAAUCCACUUAAGGCACUAUAUGUGAGUUUUUGCAUGUAGUGAGCACUUGAACCAAUAGAGUAUAUUUCCUUUUGAAUGUAAGAAAUUCACAGAGACAGCUUCUCUAUAGUAAAGGUAAGAAUCAAAACUGAGUUUCUAUAAAUUACUUUGUAUUGCUUAGAGAAAGAAGUCAUGGCAAUAGAUUGAAUAUAUUUUAAUUUAAAGUAGAAAAUUAUAUAGGAAAAAUAGAUAUAUCUUCCAGAGCUCAGUCUCAAAGGCCACAUUUUCUUUUGAGUAUUUUAACCUCCAAAACAUACUUAGUAUGUGGUGAAAUUGCCUACUUCUGGGUUGAGUAAUGUGAGCUAUCAUUACCAUGGUAACAACAAGGCCAAUAACUUGAACUCCAGUCAUAGUAGCUACAAUAAAGGGGACUCAGUUUGGAAAUAAUUAGAAUCCAUCCUUUUUGAGACUGAAAUUCAUUGCCUUUAAGACUCAAUCAACAUUCCUGGUGGUAGUCUGGAAUCAGCUCAAAUCAAGAUACAUCUAUCUUUAAAAAGAAUAUAGGACAAGAAAUCCAAAAUAGGAAAAAAAUCAAAUCAUCUUAUCUUUCUGGUGCAUUUACUAGUCUGAUGAGUCAUAAGAAAAUAAUAACCCAGAGGUUAGAAACAAAGACAUAAGCACAAUUCCUUUCAUUCCAUGGGUAAAAUUGAA
This 3993-nucleotide long non-coding RNA is filed under the name Homo sapiens (human). Its description in RNAcentral is "HSALNT0016666". The record is from RNAcentral. Lineage: Eukaryota; Metazoa; Chordata; Mammalia; Primates; Hominidae.